RNAcentral lists this long non-coding RNA (507 nucleotides) under Sparus aurata (gilthead seabream). Its description in RNAcentral is "lncRNA (ENSSAUG00010011065.1)". The record is from RNAcentral. Lineage: Eukaryota; Metazoa; Chordata; Actinopteri; Spariformes; Sparidae.
GUUGUUGUUUUUGUGAUGCGUGCUCUCCAACACGUGUUCAUUUCAGUCAAAACAUGUUUUUCUGUUUGUGAAAUAUAAACAGGAAGUGAUGGACAAACUCCAGAGGUUAAAUCAGGAGAUAAGCCGAGCUGUCUAACUAGGACGAUAACUCCGCAGCGCACGUCAUCUGAGGGAAGCAAUCAAAAGCCCUCCGGCUCAACUCGACGCCGCCGCCAUCCCUCGCUCACCUUCAGCUGCUGUUUUGUUCUUCAUUCAUGUCGGGCCUUCCUCCGCCGGCCCGUUUGACUGACAGGUCCUUCUGCACAGCCACUGAACUCCACGAUGGCUGUUGGAGUCGCAGUCUGUGGCCUCGGCUGUGACGGAGCACACGCACCGCCAGCAGAAUGUUAAUACAGCCUCGCAUUACUGUUGAAUAAUGUCAUAAAAUCACUGCUCAUAUUUUUAUAACCGCAUUUGAAUGUUGCUGCAGUUAUUAAGAAGUCAGCCUCGAGGCAGACAUAUUGCCGG